AUUUUGAACCAAGACCCAAUAUUUCAGCUUAUGGCGGCAACGAUGUCGAUGCUAAGGAGAAGGAAGUUAUGAAAGAUUUCGAACCAAGACCCAAUAUUUCAGCCUAUGGCGACAACGAUGUGGAUGCUAAGGAAAAGGAAGCCGUGAAAGAUUUUGAACCAAGACCCAAUAUUUCAGCUUAUGGCAGCAACGAUGUGGAUGCUAAGGAAAAGGAAGCUGUGAAAGAUUUCGAGCCAAGACCCAAUAUUUCAGCCUAUGGUGAUAACGAUGUCGAUGCUAAGGAGAAGGAAGUUAUGAAAGAUUUCGAACCAAGACCCAAUAUUUCAGCUUAUGGCGACAAUGAUGUGGAUGCUAAGGAAAAAGAAGCCAUGAAAGAUUUUGAACCAAGACCUAAUAUUUCAGCUUAUGGCGGCAACGAUGUGGAUGCUAAGGAAAAGGAAGUCGUGAAAGAUUUCGAGCCAAGACCUAAUAUUUCAGCUUAUGGUGACAACAAUGUCGAUGCUAAGAAAAAGGAAGUUGUGAAAGAUUUUGAAACAAGACCCUAUA
This 546-nucleotide long non-coding RNA is filed under the name Lupinus angustifolius (narrow-leaved blue lupine). RNAcentral describes it as "long non-coding RNA (LANG_LNC002373)". The record is from RNAcentral. Lineage: Eukaryota; Viridiplantae; Streptophyta; Magnoliopsida; Fabales; Fabaceae.